CCAGAUUUUAGAGAGGUGGGGUCAGAUGUGGGGGGUAGGAGUUACAGACGCUGUCACAAUCGGUUGGGUCUCUGCUGUUGUUUCAAAGGCCCCCAGACCAACCACUCACAAACCCAUCUCUGUCUUCCGGCCGGAAUGCUCAGGCGGAAUCAAGUGCCUGCAACAUUCAAGGAGAAGACGAGACAGUGAGAAGGCAUCAGAAGAAAGGGAAACUCAUCUUCUGGUCCUGGUAACCAGGCAAGGUAUUCUGUGCCAGAGGUCAGUGUAACAGGUCUGUCAUGAAUUCCUGUUUGAAGUCAGGACACACAGCACACCAGGUGUUGAGAGGAGACAGUGAGUGUGAGGAGUCGGGCAGAAACAGCUGGAGAAAUGUCUCCAGUUCACUGUUACGGAGCUGCCCAGUUGAACCUAAGGUUGACCCAACAGUCUUGGAGAGGACUUGGAGAGAAUAAUGCCACUAUGUGAACUUCCCAGAGUAAGCAAUUUUAAGCAAGUAAGUGAACAGAGAAACAGUGCAAACCACAGGGCAGAAUGAAGCUGUGUGACAUCAGAGAGGAGCAAUUUAUGACGCCCAGUCAUUCUGAGGAAGGAGGAGGGAGCCUUAUUUGUUCCCCAGAAGAACAUCUCUUGAGAAAAAUCUGGGUUUGGUUUCGUGCGGUUAGGUUUGUCAUGUGUCGUCAACCGCAACAGAAAAGUGGGAGCAAACAGCCCUGGAGCAAGUGGUACGAUCACCAGACAGAGGAGGCCAAGCCCCUGAUUGUAGAAUCUCUAUUGAUCUGCCCAGUCACUGGUUCUUUCUUCUGCCAACUCAAAUCUAUUGUUAAAUCCAUCUAUCACACAGGUGCUGUGAGCCUAUGUGACUGACCCCUGAAUGAGAUCCCUGGAGGACAGGCCCAGGAGACCAUCUUGGUGGACACACUCUGCUGUGUUGGCACACAUCCUCACUGGAGAGACUGCAUCUGAUCUGCUCACCUGGGACAAAACUCUAUGUUUGAAUAAACU
Long non-coding RNA from Talpa occidentalis (Iberian mole), 1002 nucleotides. RefSeq lists it as uncharacterized. The record is from RefSeq and is a predicted model, not a curated record. The transcript has 5 exons. Lineage: Eukaryota; Metazoa; Chordata; Mammalia; Eulipotyphla; Talpidae.